AUCACUUCUCAGCCUUUUGGCUAAGAUCAAGUGUAGAAUUUGCUCUUAACUGGUUAAACACAAGGUCUUCCAAGUCGGGUUGCCUUGGUUCAAAUUACACUUCUAUCAUGGAUGAGGUGUGACAAGGGCCAGCACACUAUGACCAACAAGGCAAAUCCC
This 159-nucleotide small nuclear RNA is filed under the name Pan paniscus (pygmy chimpanzee). RNAcentral describes it as "U2 spliceosomal RNA (ENSPPAG00000012421.1)". The stretch from base 1 to 105 matches the Rfam family "U2 spliceosomal RNA". From Rfam's summary of the family: U2 is a small nuclear RNA (snRNA) component of the spliceosome (involved in pre-mRNA splicing). Lineage: Eukaryota; Metazoa; Chordata; Mammalia; Primates; Hominidae. The record is from RNAcentral.